CGCCUUGCCAGCCCGCUACAGAAACUUAAAGGAAGUUGACGGGGGCCCGGCACAAGCGGUGGAGCAUGUGGUUUAAUUCGAUGAUACGCGAGGAACCUUACCUGGGCUCAAAUGUAUGUUGACGUAUUCUGAAAGGGAUACUUCUUCGGACAAUAUACAAGGUGCUGCAUGGUUGUCGUCAGCUCGUGCCGUGAGGUGUCGGGUUAAGUCCCAUAACGAGCGCAACCCCUAUUGCUAGUUACCAUCAUUAAGUUGGGGACUCUAGCGAGACUGCCAGUGAUAAACUGGAGGAAGGUGGGGAUGACGUCAAAUCAUCAUGCCCCUUAUGACCUGGGCUACAAACGUGAUACAAUGGCUGGAACAAAGGGAUGCGAAGCAGUGAUGUGGAGCGAAACCCAUAAAAACAGUCUCAGUUCGGAUUGAAGUCUGCAACUCGACUUCAUGAAGUCGGAAUCGCUAGUAAUCGCGGAUCAGAACGCCGCGGUGAAUACGUUCUCGGGGUUU
Molecule: ribosomal RNA, 504 nt
Filed under: uncultured Acholeplasma sp.
Lineage: Bacteria; Bacillati; Mycoplasmatota; Mollicutes; Acholeplasmatales; Acholeplasmataceae
Description: bacterial SSU rRNA
Rfam family: Bacterial small subunit ribosomal RNA
Source: RNAcentral